CAACCCUCAGGCCCCCAGUGCCUGGCGUUGGGGAUCGGCGUGGGCGGCGGACGGCUCUCCGGAGCCCGAGGCCAAUGCCUGCCGGCCCCGAAAUUCAGUGGCGGUCUCGCUGUAGUCCCCCUCUGCGUAGUAGCACAACUCGCAUUGGAGCUCGGCGGUGGCCAUGCCGUAAAACACCCCACUUCUGAA
RNAcentral lists this unclassified non-coding RNA (189 nucleotides) under Paramyrothecium parvum. Its description in RNAcentral is "partial internal transcribed spacer 2". Lineage: Eukaryota; Fungi; Ascomycota; Sordariomycetes; Hypocreales; Stachybotryaceae. RNAcentral also lists the same sequence under 1 other name. The record is from RNAcentral.